AGUCCCGUAGCUCAGAGGUAGAGCGCCGUGCUGAUAACGCGGAUGUGGAUGGUUCGAUACCAUUCGGGACUA
This is a transfer RNA of 72 nucleotides. It matches the Rfam family "tRNA". From Rfam's summary of the family: Transfer RNA (tRNA) molecules are approximately 80 nucleotides in length. Their secondary structure includes four short double-helical elements and three loops (D, anti-codon, and T loops). The record is from Rfam.